UAAGCCUGUGAAGGUGUGUCGUGAGGCAUGCUGGAGGUAUCAGAAGUGCGAAUGCUGACAUAAGUAACGAUAAAGCGGGUGAAAAGCCCGCUCGCCGGAAGACCAAGGGUUCCUGUCCAACGUUAAUCGGGGCAGGGUGAGUCGACCCCUAAGGCGAGGCCGAAAGGCGUAGUCGAUGGGAAACGGGUUAAUAUUCCCGUACUUGGUGUUACUGCGAAGGGGGGACGGAGAAGGCUAUGUUGGCCGGGCGACGGUUGUCCCGGUUUAAGCGUGUAGGUGUGUGUUCCAGGUAAAUCCGGUUCACUUUAACACUGAGGCGUGACGACGAGGCACUACGGUGCUGAAGCAACAAAUGCCCUGCUUCCAGGAAAAGCCUCUAAGCAUCAGGUAACAUCAAAUCGUACCCCAAACCGACACAGGUGGUCAGGUAGAGAAUACCAAGGCGCUUGAGAGAACUCGGGUGAAGGAACUAGGCAAAAUGGUGCCGUAACUUCGGGAGAAGGCACGCUGACACGUAGGUGAAGUGAUUUACUCAUGGAGCUGAAGUCAGUCGAAGAUACCAGCUGGCUGCAACUGUUUAUUAAAAACACAGCACUGUGCAAACACGAAAGUGGACGUAUACGGUGUGACGCCUGCCCGGUGCCGGAAGGUUAAUUGAUGGGGUCAGCGCAAGCGAAGCUCCUGAUCGAAGCCCCGGUAAACGGCGGCCGUAACUAUAACGGUCCUAAGGUAGCGAAAUUCCUUGUCGGGUAAGUUCCGACCUGCACGAAUGGCGUAAUGAUGGCCAGGCUGUCUCCACCCGAGACUCAGUGAAAUUGAACUCGCUGUGAAGAUGCAGUGUACCCGCGGCAAGACGGAAAGACCCCGUGAACCUUUACUAUAGCUUGACACUGAACAUUGAGCCUUGAUGUGUAGGAUAGGUGGGAGGCUUUGAAGUGUGGACGCCAGUCUGCAUGGAGCCGACCUUGAAAUACCACCCUUUAAUGUUUGAUGUUCUAACGUGGACCCGUGAUCCGGGUUGCGGACAGUGUCUGGUGGGUAGUUUGACUGGGGCGGUCUCCUCCUAAAGAGUAACGGAGGAGCACGAAGGUUGGCUAAUCCUGGUCGGACAUCAGGAGGUUAGUGCAAUGGCAUAAGCCAGCUUGACUGCGAGCGUGACGGCGCGAGCAGGUGCGAAAGCAGGUCAUAGUGAUCCGGUGGUUCUGAAUGGAAGGGCCAUCGCUCAACGGAUAAAAGGUACUCCGGGGAUAACAGGCUGAUACCGCCCAAGAGUUCAUAUCGACGGCGGUGUUUGGCACCUCGAUGUCGGCUCAUCACAUCCUGGGGCUGAAGUAGGUCCCAAGGGUAUGGCUGUUCGCCAUUUAAAGUGGUACGCGAGCUGGGUUUAGAACGUCGUGAGACAGUUCGGUCCCUAUCUGCCGUGGGCGCUGGAGAACUGAGGGGGGCUGCUCCUAGUACGAGAGGACCGGAGUGGACGCAUCACUGGUGUUCGGGUUGUCAUGCCAAUGGCACUGCCCGGUAGCUAAAUGCGGAAGAGAUAAGUGCUGAAAGCAUCUAAGCACGAAACUUGCCC
RNAcentral lists this ribosomal RNA (1573 nucleotides) under Salmonella enterica. Its description in RNAcentral is "partial 23S ribosomal RNA". It matches the Rfam family "Bacterial large subunit ribosomal RNA", at positions 1243 to 2799 of the family's 2925-position model. Lineage: Bacteria; Pseudomonadati; Pseudomonadota; Gammaproteobacteria; Enterobacterales; Enterobacteriaceae. The record is from RNAcentral. RNAcentral also lists the same sequence under 1 other name.